GGAAUAUUGCACAAUGGGGGAAACCCUGAUGCAGCGACGCCGCGUGAGCGAUGAAGAAUUUCGGUAUGUAAAGUUUUAUUAGCAGGGAAGAAAAUGACGGUACCUGACUAAGAAGCCCCGGCUAACUUGGCGCCAGCAGCCGCGGUAAUACGUAGGGGGCAAGCGUUAUCCGGAUUUACUGGGUGUAAAGGGAGCGUAGACGGCAUGGCAAGCCAGAUGUGAAAGCCCGGGGCUCAACCCCGGGACUGCAUUUGGAACUGUCAGGCUAGAGUGUCGGAGAGGAAAGCGGAAUUCCUAGUGUAGCGGUGAAAUGCGUAGAUAUUAGGAGGAACACCAGUGGCGAAGGCGGCUUUCUGGACGAUGACUGACGUUGAGGCUCGAAAGCGUGGGGAGCAAACA
Molecule: ribosomal RNA, 399 nt
Filed under: uncultured bacterium
Lineage: Bacteria
Description: bacterial SSU rRNA
Rfam family: Bacterial small subunit ribosomal RNA
Source: RNAcentral